Molecule: long non-coding RNA, 710 nt
Organism: Aphis gossypii (cotton aphid)
Lineage: Eukaryota; Metazoa; Arthropoda; Insecta; Hemiptera; Aphididae
Exons: 2
Source: RefSeq, a predicted model, not a curated record
UACAAAUCGUGAAGCUUCAGUUUCAUAUCCAAACGCAACAAAGCAAUUUUCUUCAGACUGUUGAUUACAUUUGGUGAGAGGGACUAUUGACUUAUUGGAUUCACUCGUAAUUCCAUACCUAAGAAAUAAUACAGCCAUAUAAGCAUCAGAUAACUCGACAAUGAUUGGCUCUUCGUUCACAGUCCAGUUGUCACCUUCGUUCCAUGUAUAAUCGUACACAGUUUUCCAGUUGUUAUUCCAUAUAUUAAGAUUGGCUUUGACAAAUUGAUCUAAACGAACGGCAAAAAUACUUUUUAUAACAGUCAUCGUUUACAGUAGACGUGAAUGACUACAGAUACCUACCAGCCAACUGGUUGUAAUAGAACUGGUAACAACUAAAUUGCAAUUCUCGACUGGAUUCGAUCACUGGCUGAGUGGAGCAAAACAGCGAAAUCUUCAAAGACGCGCAGUCACGAACUCUAAACUGAUCACAAGCAACUACCACGGUCGAAUGAUUGUAUCCCUCACAAAAACGCUGUAUAAUAAUAAUAAUUAUUGAAUACAAAGUUUAUGAAACCUACUCUGGGAUGAUAUUUUAAUGUCACAAGUGUUAAGAUGUAAUUCUCAUAUUAUUGUCAUACUUUUUACUUAGAAAACUUGAUUUAAAAAAUAAUAUAAUGUAAUUAUGAUGAAAUUUGUACACAAAAAUAUAAAAAUUGAUUUUAAUUUGA